This 781-nucleotide small RNA is filed under the name Pongo abelii (Sumatran orangutan). RNAcentral describes it as "retained intron". Lineage: Eukaryota; Metazoa; Chordata; Mammalia; Primates; Hominidae. The record is from RNAcentral.
ACGCAGGGGGCUGGCCUGCCCGCGGCGCGGGGGAAAGUUGAGUUGGGAGAAGUUGGAAGCGGCGGGGGCGCGCCCCGGGGUGGGCACGGGGCAGUCGUCGGGAGCGCGCGAGUGCGCCGGAGGACAGGGAGAGACCCCGAGACCCCCGGGGCACGAAGUCCAGAGCGAGCGGGUUAUGCCUCCGCCUCAUUGCCCUGAAAGCCGCAGCGACAGCGAAAAGGGCUAAGAUUCGGCCAUGAGCAGCGCCCCCCGGCGCCCCGCCAAGGGCGCAGAUUCUUUCUGCACGCCAGAGCCAGAGAGCUUGGGCCCUGGGAUGCCUGGGUUCCCUGAGCAGGAGGAAGACGAACUUCACCGCACCCUGGGCGUGGAGCGGUUUGAGGAGAUCCUACAGGAGGCCGGGUCUCGCGGAGGGGAGGAGCCAGGCCGCAGCUAUGGGGAGGAAGACUUUGAGUGUGAGGGGGCAGACAGGGGAGGGGGAGGCAGGGGGAUCAGGUUUGACCGUCCAGCAAAGAAGGGACUGGGGUUCUAGUGGGAGGAGUGGGGCUAGGGGCAGGAUGGCAGGGGAGGGACACUGUGCCUGCCACAGCCAAGUCCCCCUCCUCCCUGCAGACCACCGCCAGUCCUCCCACCACAUCCAUCACCCACUGUCCACCCACCUGCCUCCGGAUGCACGCCGCCGCAAGACACCCCAGGGCCCAGGACGGAAGCCUCGAAGGCGCCCGGGAGCCUCCCCGACUGGAGAAACCCCCACCAUUGAGGAGGGGGAGGAAGAUGAGGAUGA